Molecule: ribosomal RNA, 253 nt
Filed under: uncultured bacterium
Lineage: Bacteria
Description: partial 16S ribosomal RNA
Rfam family: Bacterial small subunit ribosomal RNA
Source: RNAcentral
UACGUAGGGACCGAGCGUUGUCCGGAUUCAUUGGGCGUAAAGAGCUCGUAGGCGGCCACUCAAGUCGAAUGUGAAACCUCGAGGCUUAACCUCGAGCCUGCAUUCGAUACUGGGCGGCUAGAGUCUGGUAGGGGGAUCUGGAAUUCCUGGUGUAGCGGUGGAAUGCGCAGAUAUCAGGAGGAACACCGGUGGCGAAGGCGGCUACCUGGACAGGUACUGACGCUGAAGCGCGAAAGCUAGGGGAGCAAACAGG